UAUUUAAUUAAUAAAUUAAAAUAUUUUUUGUAAUUAAUGAUUUUAUAAAAAUAAUUUAUUUUUUUUUGUUUUAGUAUUAAGUUAAAAUUAAUUUUAAGAUUUAUAGAUUAUUAGUAUUGUGAAAGAAAUUUUUUAAAUUUUAAAAAGAUUAAUUUUAGUACCUUUUGUAUCAGGGUUAAUUAAAAUUUUUAAUUAAUAUUUAAUUUCUCAAAAUUUACAGAGUUAAUUUUAUUAUUAAUUUAUUGUUUUAUAAAUAUUUAAAAAAUAAUUUUAGUUUAAAAAUUUAAUUCGUUGUAUUAUUUUUAGUUAUUUAAGAUUUAAAUUUAAUUUAUAAUUUUAAAAGUUAUAUUAAUUUUUUUUAUAUUAAUAUUUUAGAUUUAGAUUAUUUUAGGGAUAAGCUUAAAAUUUUUAUAUAAUAAUUAGAUUUAAAUUAAAUAUUUUAUAGAAAUAGAAAUUUUUAUUUAAAGUUUGUAAAAAUUUAUUAUUUAUUUUAAUUUUAAUUUAUUAUAAUUUAUUUAUUUUUUAUAUUAAAUUAUAUAAUUAAAUUAUUUAAUUAUAAAAAUAAUGAUUAAAUUAGUAUAAUUUUUUUUUAUUAAUUAUGAAUUUGGCAAAUAUUAUUUUCAUCUGUUUAACAAAAACAUUGUAUUAAGAUUAAUUUAAUAUAGAAUCUGCUCAAUGAUAAUAAUUUAAAUAGCUGCAGUAUUUUGACUGUGCAAAGGUAGCAUAAUAAUUAGUCUUUUAAUUGAAGAAUAGAAUGAAAGAUUUGAUGAAAAAUAAACUUUAUUAUUAAUAUAAUUAAAAUUUUAUUUUUAAGUAAAAAAGCUUAAAUAUUUUAAAGGGACGAUAAGACCCUAUAAAACUUUAUAAUUAUUAUUUAUUUAUUUAUUUAGUAAAUAAUAAUUUAAAUUUUAAUAAUUAUUUUAUUGGGGUGAUAAAAAAAUUUUUUUAACUUUUUUUAAAAAUUAACAUUAAUUAUUGAUUAUUUGAAUUAAAAUUUUUAUUUAAAAGAAAAAGUUACUUUAGGGAUAACAGCGUAAUUAAUUUUUUAAGUUCAAAUUUUAAAAUUAGU
Molecule: ribosomal RNA, 1069 nt
Filed under: Pseudoregma sp. south group
Lineage: Eukaryota; Metazoa; Arthropoda; Insecta; Hemiptera; Hormaphididae
Description: partial large subunit rRNA
Source: RNAcentral